AUACCUUUCUCGGCCUUUUGAUUAACAUCAAGUGUAGUAUCUGUUUUUAUCAGUUUAAUAUCUGAUAUGGGGGUCAUGUGCCCACAAUGAUAUUAAAUUUAUUUUUUGUGGGGAUGAUCCAUCACAAUAGCUUGCCAUUGGGGCCCUUGUGUGUUGCCCAAGUGUUUCGCUUCAUACCAUGUGUGCUUCGUACAAAUC
Molecule: small nuclear RNA, 198 nt
Organism: Triticum dicoccoides
Lineage: Eukaryota; Viridiplantae; Streptophyta; Magnoliopsida; Poales; Poaceae
Product: U2 spliceosomal RNA
Exons: 1
Source: RefSeq, a predicted model, not a curated record